Transfer RNA from Camelus ferus (Wild Bactrian camel), 73 nucleotides. It matches the Rfam family "tRNA". From Rfam's summary of the family: Transfer RNA (tRNA) molecules are approximately 80 nucleotides in length. Their secondary structure includes four short double-helical elements and three loops (D, anti-codon, and T loops). The record is from Rfam. NCBI's taxonomy places the organism in Eukaryota, Metazoa, Chordata, Mammalia, Artiodactyla, Camelidae.
GAAGGUAUAGCUCAAGUGGUAGAGUGCAUGCUUAGCACAUACAAGGUCCUGGGUUCAAUCCCCAGUACCUCCU